UACGGAGGGUGCGAGCGUUGUCCGGAAUCACUGGGCGUAAAGGGCGCGUAGGCGGCGCGGGAAGUCCGUGGUGAAAGCCCGAGGCUCAACUUCGGGUCGGCCAUGGAUACUCCUGGGCUUGAGCACUGUAGAGGCAGGUGGAAUUCCGGGUGUAGCGGUGGAAUGCGUAGAGAUCCGGAAGAACACCGGUGGCGAAGGCGGCCUGCUGGGCAGUAGCUGACGCUGAGGCGCGACAGCGUGGGGGAGCAAACAGG
Molecule: ribosomal RNA, 254 nt
Filed under: uncultured bacterium
Lineage: Bacteria
Description: partial 16S ribosomal RNA
Rfam family: Bacterial small subunit ribosomal RNA
Source: RNAcentral